UAGGGAAUCUUCGGCAAUGGGGGGAACCCUGACCGAGCAACGCCGCGUGAGUGAAGAAGGUUUUCGGAUCGUAAAGCUCUGUUGUUAAGGAAGAACGAGUGUGAGAAUGGAAAGUUCAUGCUGUGACGGUACUUAACCAGAACGGGACGGCUAACUACGUGCCAGCAGCCGCGGUAAUACGUAGGUCCCGAGCGUUGUCCGGAUUUAUUGGGCGUAAAGCGAGCGCAGGCGGUUAGAAAAGUCUGAAGUGAAAGGCAGUGGCUCAACCAUUGUAGGCUUUGGAAACUGUUUAACUUGAGUGCAGAAGGGGAGAGUGGAAUUCCAUGUGUAGCGGUGGAAUGCGUAGAUAUAUGGAGGAACACCGGUGGCGGAAGCGGCUCUCUGGUCUGUAACUGACGCUGAGGCUGGAAAGCGUGGGGAGCGAACAGG
RNAcentral lists this ribosomal RNA (429 nucleotides) under Verrucomicrobiota bacterium. Its description in RNAcentral is "Verrucomicrobia bacterium partial 16S ribosomal RNA". It matches the Rfam family "Bacterial small subunit ribosomal RNA", at positions 355 to 776 of the family's 1533-position model. Lineage: Bacteria; Pseudomonadati; Verrucomicrobiota. The record is from RNAcentral.